Molecule: long non-coding RNA, 3107 nt
Organism: Sciurus carolinensis (gray squirrel)
Lineage: Eukaryota; Metazoa; Chordata; Mammalia; Rodentia; Sciuridae
Exons: 3
Source: RefSeq, a predicted model, not a curated record
UGGGAGAGGGGAUUGGCAGGACAGACGAGGGAGAAAAGAUAGAAGGCAAGUGGAGAACUCGAUGAAAAUUCCUGCUGAAGCCCCUCAAGGUCUCAUGCUGAAGUCCGAUAUAUCACUGAAACGCUGAAUAGUGUUCCCUCCCGCAGACACCUUUGCCUGACAAGAAAGAAUGAAACAGACAUUCAGCAUAGCAGCCCAAGCCUUUUCCCCAAGGAUCUACAUUUUGUACUGGCUUCUUUUCUCCUGUCAGGGAAGAUGGUUCAUUUGCUUAAUAAGGAAAUCUGUACCAUUCACUCAUUUGCCUACAGAUAUUAAGCUUCAGGAUUUCUGUGAUGCCAUAAUAAUCCUGGGAAGGAGACUCAACAGGUAAAUUCAUCUCAUUUGCAGAGGUGGACAUCGAAGCCCAGAGGGAUGGACUGCUUUUGUCCAAGGGAGAGAGCAUCUAGGAGACAGGACGGUGAAUGAGCACUAGAGACGGAGAGGACGUGGUCCAGGGGAAAUGAUGCCGUUAUCAGCCACAGCCACAGUCUGAGAGGCAUCCAGGAGAACGGCUCCCUCACUGCAGAAGGGAAACACGCCGCUCGCCUGUCAGCAGACCCGGGCUAGCACAUUCCCUGGAGGUUUCUCGGAGCACAUGGCGUGCUUUUGUUCCUGCGGACGAGAGGGCCUGUCACUGAGCUAGCUGUCCCUGGCCUUGCGAUCCUCUCCGUCAUAAUGUUGUUUCUCAGAUCUUGCUGCUGUGACUCAGGCUCCCGUCCUGUUUGGGGGCUGCUGUGAUUUCACCUGUGCAUCUCAUCCAUGCUGGUGCUCACUCUCACCAGGGCUCCUCAGCCUGGCACCUCCACUAACCCAUCAAGAGCCUGGCGGGGUAUAAUAACUUCUCUGAGAAGAACAGUUUCCCAUUGUGUGUUUGAGAUGUUAGGAAUCAAAAUCCAACCUACGCUGUCACCCUCUUUCACAGAAGGAGUUGAUUCUGGUAGUAGACAUGAAACACUCUGUUCAGGGAAGGGAUUAACACAGGGUGGGAGCUCUCAAACAUGCCCUGGAACCAGCAGCUGCAGCACCCGGGAACUAUUAGAACUGUGAAUUCCCAGACCCAUCCCCGACAGCCUGAAGAUGGGCUCCAGCAGUCUGGGUUUUCACAAGCUCUCUGGGUGAUGCUGAUGCUCAACAGAUGCAAGACAACUGCCAAGUGCAUCUUAUUUUGGGUUGGCUGUUUUGUGUUUUCAUAAUGCUCUCAUAUGCAUCAUCUUGCUGAAUCUUCACAUGAUUUUAGGUAAUUGGCUGGAGAAGACAAAGCUGUGGGUUAUGCCCAUUUUGCAGGUGAAAAGGUGAAAAUCAUCAAUGUUGCAUAAUUUGCUCGUGGUUCCCCACUGCUGGAUCUUGAAAUUGCCUUUCUACUUCUUGGCCACUCUAACCCAGUGAUGGAAACAGAAAUGAGUAUUUAAGAGAACAGUAUCAGAACUUGAAAAGGAGGGUUUCAUGAUCCUCUGGGUAUGAUGUAAACCACACUAGAAAGUCCCAUCAUCACCUUAGGAAAGGGGAAGACCUGAGGGUAAGGCUCAGUGACUUCAUUAGCCAUGAAGAGUGCAUGGUUAGGGUCUAACAUUGGAAAGACAGAGGGCAAAUUGGGCCCUAUUACCUGUCAUUUACUGUGGGUCCUUGGUUAAAGUCUCAGCUUCUCUUAACCUUGGUUUCUGACUAUAAAAGAGGGCUGAGGAUAGAAGAAUGUAGCAUAGAGGUUGCAUCAAGGGUCAAAGAAUAUAUGCAGUGAGUUCAUUUGCAUACACUUCAAUCAUAGUGAGUGGUCAAUUUUUAUGUUACUGUUAUUAUUAGGAAGACUUGCUUAUUACUCAGCUCUUAACUAUCCAAGAAGGUGAGUGAUAUAUUAAAAUGAGCCCACAUUCACUGAACUCCUCUCCCAUGCCUGGGUUUGCUUCAUGGGGUGUCCUCAUAGGUACAGGGCAGGGAGUUGGGUGAGAUUUCUGGCUGAGAAGGCUGGGACUUGGACAGGAGCAUUUCCCAGAGUGUUGGGAUUUCAAAGAUAGAGGGAGACUGGAGUUAAGAACAGAGAACCCAGCCAUGUGAGACCAUGUGCUGGACAAGUUACCAUGACGGAAUGGGCAGAUGGGGACCUAAUUUACAACUCUUUAAGGAUGGGUUCCGUGAACCAUGGAUGGAAAUGGUAGCCUAUUUUAUUAUGGGCCUGGUAUUGUGGCACAAUAUAGUCUGAUGUUAGCUCUCUGCCGUGCUAGACGUUCUAGCAGAUUAAGCUUAAUAUUGUAGUUUUGAAGGAUGUUGGGAAUUACUGGAAGUGAAUCAUUUCCUUACCUCCUGCAAUGAUAGGGGAGAGCACAAGGAUCAUUUGUGAUGUUCCCUUCCCUGUCAGGAGAAAAGGCAUGACUCACUUUAUUGUAGGUGUCUUCUUUAGGUCAUGUUUAGAGAGUAUAAUGAGACUACUCCAUGGGAAGGCAAAGCAGGUCUCUAUCUGUCUCUUGUCCUACCCCUGACUUCAUAGCUCAGGUGGACCCUGGCCCUGUUUAUGCAUCUGAUUGGGAAAGGUCACUCAGGUUCUGUUCUCCAGGCUCAUUUGUCCUCUGCACCCACUCCAUCAAUCUCCCUCAAGGUUGUUUGCUAGGUGGAAGGGGGCUUUCUCCCUACUAGUCACAUCCUCCAGUCCAGAUUUUAUCAGAACUUGGUUAUGAAAUGUCUUAUGUCUGUAUGACUAUUAUUUAUUUGUAUUUAAUUGUUAUAUAUGUGAUUAUAAUAUAGUCAUAUACUAAUAGAAAUACAACUGAUUUGUAUUAGUUGAUCAGUACACGCUAUGGACUGAAUAUUUGUGUCUUCCAAAAUCCACAUGUUGAAAUACAAUGUGAUGAUAUUUGAAGGUGGGGGCCUUUGAGUGAUUGGGUUUAGGUGAGGCCAUGAGGGUGGGCCUGCAUGAUGGGAUUGAGUCCUAAGAUGAAGAGGAAGAGAGAUCCAUGCCUUCUCUCUCUCUCCCAUGUGAAUAUACAAGGAGACAGUGACUGUCUUCAAGCCAGGGAGAGGGCUCUUAUCUGGAACUGAAUAUGUCAGUAUCUUCUUCUUGGACUUUCGUCCUCUGUAAC